This 459-nucleotide ribosomal RNA is filed under the name uncultured bacterium. RNAcentral's name for it is "partial 16S ribosomal RNA". It matches the Rfam family "Bacterial small subunit ribosomal RNA", at positions 28 to 507 of the family's 1533-position model. The record is from RNAcentral.
GAUGAACGCUGGCGGCGCGCCUAACACAUGCCAGUCGAACGGCACCCCUCCUCGGAGGGCAGCGAGUGGCGAACGGCUGAGUAACACGUGGAGAACCUGCCCCCUCCCCCGGGAUAGCCGCCCGAAAGGACGGGUAAUACCGGAUACCCCGGGGUGCCGCAUGGCACCCCGGCUAAAGCCCCGACGGGAGGGGAUGGCUCCGCGGCCCAUCAGGUAGACGGCGGGGUGACGGCCCACCGUGCCGACAACGGGUAGCCGGGUUGAGAGACCGACCGGCCAGAUUGGGACUGAGACACGGCCCAGACUCCUACGGGAGGCAGCAGUGGGGAAUCUUGCGCAAUGGGGGGAACCCUGACGCAGCGACGCCGCGUGCGGGACGGAGGCCUUCGGGUCGUAAACCGCUUUCAGCAGGGAAGAGUCAAGACGGUACCUGCAGAAGAAGCCCCGGCUAACUACGUG